This is a long non-coding RNA of Portunus trituberculatus (swimming crab), 1137 nucleotides long. RefSeq lists it as uncharacterized. The record is from RefSeq and is a predicted model, not a curated record. Lineage: Eukaryota; Metazoa; Arthropoda; Malacostraca; Decapoda; Portunidae. The transcript is spliced from 7 exons.
UGGGGUGGGGGAGGGAUAUCAUAGGUGAGGAGAAGAAACCGGCAGGUCAGCGCGUCGUAGUCUGCAGGAUAGCAAGGAAGAUGUUGGAGGUGUUGUUCAUGCAGGCUGGCCGGAUGAACGACGGGACUGCUUGUUAUGGUGGGUAGCGCCGCGACUCGUCUGUCUCCGCCAGCGCCAAACAGCUGUACCAGAGGAGUCGGAUGAUGGACUGACCGGCUAACUGCUUGUUUGACGCGUGUGAGGCAGCGGUAACUACGUAGGUCAAGCAAGCACGCCUCCACUACCUAUGGUCUCCUCAAACCUGUCGUCACCAAGCAGGUGUGGUAGCUGUGUCAUUGCAUAAACACGGGUCAGAUGAAGUGAAUCUAUUUGCAAUAUUUAGCGGAGCUGUGACACGUGUCAGUGGUGAUGGAGUCUGCAUGCAAGGGCCCUUCAAGCACUGCGGCUGAUCGCCUCUAGUCUGCCGGCGCUGAGCAGACUGCUUGAAUGGUCGACUGUUGGGGACUGGUUUACUCAUGGUACAAUAACGAGUUAUUGUACCAUGGGUUUACUGGACUGGCGAGUGAGGCAGCGCGACGGUGAGCCAAGAGAUGUUUGCCGGAGACGAGUGACAGAUGGCGCUGAUGUGUCAAGCCUGACGCAACAGACCGUACUGGUGGCUGCCUUGUCUGGCAGCGCCACGCAGCGACGAGGAGGGUGAUGGAUGGGUGUUCGAAGUUGGUGGACUCCUGUAUUUGAUCGUUCGUUGGUUCCUGGUCCGCUGGCUUCUUACCUCACCUGCUGUUGCUGGCGCCGCCUGCUCAAAACUUCCCUUCGUCACCUGCGCCAGAGUAGCGGCCGAGGACGCUAUAACUUGUUAUACGUACUGUAUACGUACCCAGAGCGGCGCCUCCCCAUUCCUUGGCGUGGGUGAGGCGCCUUCCGACCCUCCACUCAGGGAUCAGUAGUGUUGCUGGUUAAUGAAUAACAUCAUGGUUUUAGGAGUUCGGGAGAUAUUUCACUUUUUUUUUUUUUUUUUCGCUGGGAAUUCGAAAUAUCGGAAUUCGAAAUACCGUUUCUCCGAACGCUCUUCGUUAUUAUUGUAAACCGUGUAAAUAAUAAUAAAUAAACCAUCAAAUUUGAAAGCAAAGGGGUUUU